GUUUGAGAAGAACAGUUGGAGAUAUCUUUAGCCCAGUGCUCCUCAGGGCUCGCAAAAUCGCUAGCCUGACGUCCAGGGGUUAUUGUGUUUUUUCCAGUUGAGCUACCACAAUAUAUCAUUGGAUGUUACCGGGGAAACUGCUAUAUUCUGCCGGUCCAGAAGCACCUCCUGGCAGAGAAUGAAUUUGCAUUUUCAUUAAGUCCAUCUGCUGAUCCUUCAGACCAAUGUGAAAAUCUCAUCUUUUGAAUGACAUCCUUUCACUCUCAAGAGGGACUCCAAACUCAGAUGAUAAUGUGAGCAGGGUGUUUGCCAUCCUGCUGUGAUUGGCAGUGCAAGUGGUUUAGCCUGGGCCUGCAGUGCUUUGAAUGGCAUGAGGAGUAGGAGUGGCUGACAAAGCAGAAAGUGGCACCGCAGCCAAAGAUCUGCAUUAAAUGGAAUGAGUUUCUUUGAGAUGGAUCCAAGCAGUGUUUAUAGUGUUUUUCUUUCAUUGAAGUAUGUUGCCUUUGGUUCAAUUUUCUUGGUGGGAAAAGCUUCCAAACUCAGUUAAUGAGGGUGUAUUUAGGUGUUGAUUAAGAAAACCGUUUACAAGCGGAAACAGUCCAAAACAGUUCUAAACGCAUAUGUAAGUGGAUUUUGUGUGAGAAAAACAACAGGGGACUUCACUAGAAUAAGCAUUAUUAUGGACUAAUUUAGUCAGAAUCUGCUGUUUAAAGUUAAAAUGCCUUGAUGGAUUUGUUUCUUAAACACACAGCUUUUUACCUCAAGACGUUAAUUGAUGGACUGGAGU
Molecule: long non-coding RNA, 787 nt
Organism: Cyprinus carpio (common carp)
Lineage: Eukaryota; Metazoa; Chordata; Actinopteri; Cypriniformes; Cyprinidae
Exons: 5
Source: RefSeq, a predicted model, not a curated record